AAACUAACAAGGAUUCCCCUAGUAACUGCGAGUGAAGCGGGAAAAGCUCAAAUUUAAAAUCUGGCGGUCUCCGGCCGUCCGAGUUGUAAUUUAGAGAAGCGUUAUCCGUGCUGGACCGUGUAUAAGUCUCCUGGAAUGGAGCGUCAUAGAGGGUGAGAAUCCCGUCUUUGACACGGACUACCAGUGCAUUGUGAUGCGCUCUCGACGAGUCGAGUUGUUUGGGAAUGCAGCUCAAAAUGGGUGGUAAAUGCCAUCUAAAGCUAAAUAUUGGCGAGAGACCGAUAGCGAACAAGUACCGUGAGGGAAAGAUGAAAAGAACUUUGGAAAGAGAGUUAAACAGUACGUGAAAUUGUCGAAAGGGAAACGGUUGCAGUCAGUCGCGUCCGCCGGGGAUCAACCUUGCUUUCGCUUGGCGUAUUUCCCGGUGGAUGGGUCAGCAUCAGUUUUGACCGCAGUUGAAAGGCUGGAGGAAUGUGGCACCUUCGGGUGUGUUAUAGCCUCCUGUCAUAUGCUGCGGUUGGGACUGAGGAACUCAGCACGCCGCAAGGCCGGGAUUCGUCCACGUUCGUGCUUAGGAUGCUGGCAUAAUGUCUGUAACCGAC
Molecule: ribosomal RNA, 602 nt
Filed under: Schizophyllum commune
Lineage: Eukaryota; Fungi; Basidiomycota; Agaricomycetes; Agaricales; Schizophyllaceae
Description: LSU rRNA
Rfam family: Eukaryotic large subunit ribosomal RNA
Source: RNAcentral